Molecule: ribosomal RNA, 373 nt
Filed under: uncultured organism
Description: bacterial SSU rRNA
Rfam family: Bacterial small subunit ribosomal RNA
Source: RNAcentral
CAGAGGGUGCAAGCGUUAAUCGGAAUUACUGGGCGUAAAGCGUGCGUAGUCGGCAAUUUAAGUCGGGUGUGAAAUCCCCGGGCUCAACCUGGGAAUUGCAUUCGAUACUGGAUCGCUAGAGUUCGGCAGAGGGAAGUGGAAUUUCUGGUGUAGCGGUGAAAUGCGUAGAUAUCAGAAGGAACAUCAGUGGCGAAAGCGACUUCCUGGACCAGAACUGACGAUCAGGCACGAAAGCGUGGGGAGCAAACAGGAUUAGAUACCCUGGUAGUCCACGCCAUAAACGAUGACAACUAGACGUUGGGGGCAUAUGGCUCUCAGUGUCGCAGCUAACGCGUUAAGUUGUCCGCCUGGGGGAGUACGGCCGCAACGGUUG